This is a long non-coding RNA of Cheilinus undulatus (humphead wrasse), 511 nucleotides long. RefSeq lists it as uncharacterized. NCBI's taxonomy places the organism in Eukaryota, Metazoa, Chordata, Actinopteri, Labriformes, Labridae. The record is from RefSeq and is a predicted model, not a curated record. The transcript has 4 exons.
GUCUGCCUCUAUUCAUUACUGCUGGAUUCUCUGAUUGUUUCCUUUAUUCCCAUCUUUGUACCCACAGUCCUGUUUUUCCUCCUCUUUUUUUGGCAGCGCUGUUUUAUCCCACGACGAAGAAAGCAAGCUACGUGCGGGAUAAACGGGCUGUUCGGUCGACAGCGGGAGACCCUGGUAAAAUGGCCUCCAUACUGAUGCUCUGACAGAGAGAGGCUGAGCUUCCACAAAAGCAGUCACACAUGUACAGAGCAGGCCUUUCUGUCAGAGGUUAGCACACAGAUGACUGGUUCAGUUUGGGGAAUGUUUUAUUUCUUCGUUAGCAAGUCAUGCACAGCACGUACAAAGGCUGCAGUCCUCAAAGCACCAGUCCAGGUUGGAAUCUGACCUUUGGCUCCAUUCCUGUAUGUCAUUCCCAACUUUCACUCCCAAAUUCCUGAUUUUAUCUACUGUCAUGUCUCUCCAACAAAGGCAUUAAAAGCCCUAAAUAAAUCUAAAAUAAAGAAAUAAAUGU